GAUGAACGCUAGCGGCAGGCUUAAUACAUGCAAGUCGAGGGGCAGCACGGUUAGCAAUAACUGGUGGCGACCGGCGCACGGGUGCGUAACACGUAUACAAUCUACCUUAAACAGGGGGAUAGCCUUUCGAAAGAGAGAUUAAUACCCCGUAAUAAAUUGAACGGCAUCGUUUGAUUUGAAAGCUCCGGCGGUUUGAGAUGAGUAUGCGUCUGAUUAGCUAGUUGGUGAGGUAACGGCUCACCAAGGCGGCGAUCAGUAGGGGAUCUGAGAGGACUAA
This 277-nucleotide ribosomal RNA is filed under the name uncultured bacterium. RNAcentral's name for it is "partial 16S ribosomal RNA". It matches the Rfam family "Bacterial small subunit ribosomal RNA", at positions 28 to 304 of the family's 1533-position model. The record is from RNAcentral.